Molecule: long non-coding RNA, 1294 nt
Organism: Raphanus sativus (radish)
Lineage: Eukaryota; Viridiplantae; Streptophyta; Magnoliopsida; Brassicales; Brassicaceae
Exons: 5
Source: RefSeq, a predicted model, not a curated record
CACACAACAUGGCCCGUCGAGAACUACCUUUACUAUCAAACUUAAAGGUCGCCUUUUGUAUUAGAGUUAGCCGUGUCUCCGUCUCGCGUCUCCAGUGUUUCCCCAUCGAUUGCUCUUUCGACUUCUUCAUCCGGUGUGAGAUGAAGCAGUAACGAUUCACCCUCAUAUAAAGCUCUCCUUAAUCAAUCAUACACGAUCUCCAUAUUCAAUGUGAUCCUGGAGAGUGAAAGGCGGUGGAGGCUCUACUAUAAAAAGACUGGCCGUUCUUCCUCCUCCGUUCAAGUUCGCCUGCUCCGAUUUUGGGAGGCCAGUAACGUCUGGCGUGGUGGAGAGCUUAUGGGAGUCGACAUGCUCCUUCUUGCUUCUCAGUAUGUGUACAGGCUGGCAUGUUAGCUCUUCUUCGCGAUGCCAGAGGUGCAAACUUCACCAGCUUAUAAAGGAUCGUAUCAACAAUAGUUUCAUGGCUUAUUGAAUAAGUUAGUACAUUCUUUUUCGACCAUUUUUUCCUCAUAACAUGCCUUUAUUAAGUUUGUAGUUCCCAUCACUCCUUACUCUUCAUAUUUCUAUUACACUAGCAGCAACUGUUUAUUGAAGAAUUUCAGUGGAAACAUCAAAUGGGAGUCCACAACAUCUUAAUAAACCUCAUGGUUGAGGAACCUGUUUAGAUGGCACCACAAGGAGAAAGGAAAAGUAGAGGCUGACAUGGACAGAGAGAAAUCGACAAGGAAGAUUUUGAGACAAAGCUGAACAUAACAAACACUACGCUCAACGUCACACAAGAAGUUGUAUUCUUUUGAAGUAGACCUUGAAAAGGCAACAUUUAUGGUGCAGAUCACUUCAGCUUCAGUUAGAAAGGGAGGGGAUGUUGUAAUGGCUUCUGCAAAAUUAUCAAUGUCGAAAGCAGAUACCGACUUACAGAAGCAACUAGAAGCGUACAAGCAACACAGUGAAAUUUCCAGGUGUUCUCUCCAUGAAAGUAUAGAACAUUUGCGUCAAAAGGUUCGCCCUACAAAGCAAGGAUAACAAUCUUAGAGUUAUUCAUGAUGGUGGUAGAAAAUAUGCAUUGAUUGUGUGCGAACAAGUGAAAUCCAAAUCUGAGAAGAUGGAGAUUUUUCCAAAAUAGAAACAAAGAUAAUGCUUCUGAAGAAGCUGCCUGCUGCUGUUCAAUAUAAAAAAAAGAGUGAGCAUCAAGAAUGUUUACUAUGUAAUGAAUACAAACAAAGAUAUGAAUGUUUGUUUAAGAACCUUUGUUUGUGUGUCUAUAGCAAGAUUGGGAAAAAAAACGUGAUCCUUA